CUGAUUUUCCCAUCCAUUCCAAGGGUUUUUAGCCCCCUCGCCCUCGCCCUGCCGCGCCGCAGCAAUGGCCGCCGCCGCCGCAGCCGCCGCGAGAUCCUUCCUCCGAUCCGGAUCCGCCACCUCCUCCCUCCGCGGCGCGGCCGCCAGGGCCGCCUCCCGCUCCGGGCCGGCGGCCCCCUCGAGGCGGCUCCUCUCCUCCCCUCCCCGCGCCCGCCUCGCCCUAAGGUCGCCGCUGGAGAUGAGCAGCGCCUGCUUGGAGUCGCUGAUGCCCAUGCACAGCGCCACGGCCUCGGCGCUCAUGACGUCGCUCCUCGCCGCCCCGGCUCGCGUCGGUUCCUGCUGGAUCUCCGAAGCUGGCAAUGACGACCUGUGAAAAUAUCUAGGUGGAUGUAGCAGACUAAAUCCAGUCACCACAAAUAUUCAGACUUAUGAUGGGUGAGGACGGAGGUCUGGGAUGAAGAGACGCCCUGUUUAUUUUCGCCAGUAACUUUUAUGGUGUGAGUUGAAGAGCUGGAGCUUAGACUAUUCGUUUCUAUUUGUAGAUGAAUGAUCUCUUGUUGUGGGAGCCUGGUGUGACUGUUAUGGUAGCUGCUAAGGACCUCUCCCACUGAAUUUGAGCUACGUUUUUAAUCUGCCUUUCUUCUGGCUCUGUUCAGGGAUUUUGGUAUGUAUUAAGUGUCUGCAGGAUUAUAACAGAAUUUGGUGGCGUGCAAGAAAUAAUGUUCAGUUCAUGUCU
This is an RNA transcript of Triticum dicoccoides, 736 nucleotides long. It is a transcript of the gene named protein NUCLEAR FUSION DEFECTIVE 6, mitochondrial-like, with no coding region annotated. The transcript has 4 exons. NCBI's taxonomy places the organism in Eukaryota, Viridiplantae, Streptophyta, Magnoliopsida, Poales, Poaceae. The record is from RefSeq and is a predicted model, not a curated record.